RNAcentral lists this ribosomal RNA (253 nucleotides) under uncultured bacterium. Its description in RNAcentral is "partial 16S ribosomal RNA". It matches the Rfam family "Bacterial small subunit ribosomal RNA", at positions 524 to 776 of the family's 1533-position model. The record is from RNAcentral.
GACGAACCGAGCGAACGUUGUUCGGAAUCACUGGGCUUAAAGGGCGCGUAGGCGGGCUGUCAAGUCUGGGGUGAAAUGCCGCGGCUCAACCGUGGAACUGCCUCAGAUACUGUCGGCCUCGAGGAAGGUAGGGGCAUGCGGAACUGUAGGUGGAGCGGUGAAAUGCGUUGAUAUCUACAGGAACUCCGGUGGCGAAAGCGGCGUGCUGGACCUUUUCUGACGCUGAGGCGCGAAAGCUAGGGGAGCAAACGGG